Molecule: ribosomal RNA, 253 nt
Filed under: uncultured bacterium
Lineage: Bacteria
Description: partial 16S ribosomal RNA
Rfam family: Archaeal small subunit ribosomal RNA
Source: RNAcentral
UACCAGCACCCCGAGUGGUCGGGACGAUUAUUGGGCCUAAAGCAUUCGUAGCCGGUCCUACAAGUCUUCCGUUAAAUCCACCUGCUUAACAGAUGGGCUGCGGGAGAUACUACAGGGCUAGGAGGCGGGAGAGGCAAGCGGUACUCAGUGGGUAGGGGUAAAAUCCGUUGAUCCAUUGAAGACCACCAGUGGCGAAGGCGGCUUGCCAGAAUGCGCUCGACGGUGAGGGAUGAAAGCUGGGGGAGCAAACCGG